Molecule: transfer RNA, 74 nt
Filed under: Candidatus Psyllophila symbiotica
Lineage: Bacteria; Pseudomonadati; Pseudomonadota; Gammaproteobacteria; Enterobacterales; Enterobacteriaceae
Description: tRNA-Arg
Rfam family: tRNA
About the family: Transfer RNA (tRNA) molecules are approximately 80 nucleotides in length. Their secondary structure includes four short double-helical elements and three loops (D, anti-codon, and T loops). Further hydrogen bonds mediate the characteristic L-shaped molecular structure. tRNAs have two regions of fundamental functional importance: the anti-codon, which is responsible for specific mRNA codon recognition, and the 3' end, to which the tRNAs corresponding amino acid is attached (by aminoacyl-tRNA synthetases). tRNAs cope with the degeneracy of the genetic code in two manners: having more than one tRNA (with a specific anti-codon) for a particular amino acid; and 'wobble' base-pairing, i.e. permitting non-standard base-pairing at the 3rd anti-codon position.
Source: RNAcentral
GCAUCCUUAGCUCAGUUGGAUAGAGCAACAGCCUUCUAAGUUGUAGGUCACAGGUUCAAUUCCUGUAGGAUGUA